RNAcentral lists this long non-coding RNA (480 nucleotides) under Coccomyxa subellipsoidea. RNAcentral's name for it is "long non-coding RNA (CSUB_LNC000099)". The record is from RNAcentral. Lineage: Eukaryota; Viridiplantae; Chlorophyta; Trebouxiophyceae; Coccomyxaceae.
GUGAGCAUUGAGGUGUCAGCAGCGAUCAGCGAGAACUUGUACAGGACAACGGCGUUCGAGGUGGAGCUGCUGGUGUAUACAGACAAUGGCCUAGGCGCAGGGCUGGGCCGCUACGACCGGCACAGCAGAACAGACUGCUCCUUUCACGUCAAGUGCCUCACCGCUGCGAGCGUCAGAUACACAUCCGACUAGGGUAAUGCAGCAGCUUUGCUUCCGUCGGGCUGCCCCUGAGGAACCCUGUUACUAAGAGCCAUAGCAAGUAGCAGGGCCUGGUGCAUAUAUAUUGGCAGCAGAUAUCGGAUAUUAGAGGAUCAGAUAUCGGAUCUCUAGAUGCCGCCUUAUUUACACAUGCCAUAGAGAAGGAGGAUUGAGCUCUAGAAUUGUCGAUACUGUGACUGCAUGUUGGGCAUACUUGAGGCAUGUCAUGACUGAUGUACAAUAUUGGAGGCGCACGUGGGAGCAAAUAUUAUGUAAGGAAUC